This 254-nucleotide ribosomal RNA is filed under the name uncultured bacterium. RNAcentral's name for it is "partial 16S ribosomal RNA". It matches the Rfam family "Bacterial small subunit ribosomal RNA", at positions 524 to 776 of the family's 1533-position model. The record is from RNAcentral.
UACGUAGGGUCCGAGCGUUAUCCGGAAUCAUUGGGCGUAAAGAGCUCGUAGGCGGUUCAGCAAGUCGUCUGUGAAAGUCCGGGGCUCAACCCCGGAAUUGCAGUCGAUACUGCUGUGACUCGAGUCCGGUAGAGGAGAACGGAAUUCCCGGUGUAGCGGUGAAAUGCGCAGAUAUCGGGAGGAACACCAGUAGCGAAGGCGGUUCUCUGGGCCGGCACUGACGCUGAGGAGCGAAAGCGUGGGGAGCAAACAGG